RNAcentral lists this ribosomal RNA (459 nucleotides) under uncultured bacterium. Its description in RNAcentral is "partial 16S ribosomal RNA". It matches the Rfam family "Bacterial small subunit ribosomal RNA", at positions 338 to 795 of the family's 1533-position model. The record is from RNAcentral.
CCUACGGGUGGCUGCAGUGAGGAAUAUUGGUCAAUGGCCGCAGGGCUGAACCAGCCAAGUCGCGUGAGGGAUGGCGGUCCUCUGGAUUGUAAACCUCUUUUGUCGGGGAGCAAAGGGCGCCACGUGUGGCGCUUUGCGCGUACCUUAAGAAAAAGCAUCGGCUAACUCCGUGCCAGCAGCCGCGGUAAUACGGAGGAUGCGGGCGUUAUCCGGAUUUAUUGGGGUUAAAGGGUGCGCAGGCGGAAUGUCAAGUCAGCGGUAAAAUUUCGGGGCUCAACCCCGUCGUGCCGUUGAAACUGGCGGUCUUGAGUGAGCGAGAAGUAGGCGGAAUGCGUGGUGUAGCGGUGAAAUGCAUAGAGAUCACGCAGAACUCCGAUUGCGAAGGCAGCAUACCGGAGCGCAACUGACGCUCAUGCACGAAAGCGUGGGUAGCGAACAGGAUUAGAUACCCCAGUAGUC